This 255-nucleotide unclassified non-coding RNA is filed under the name Ascomycota sp. RNAcentral describes it as "partial contains small subunit ribosomal RNA, internal transcribed spacer 1, and 5.8S ribosomal RNA". The stretch from base 1 to 47 matches the Rfam family "Eukaryotic small subunit ribosomal RNA", at positions 1785 to 1831 of the family's 1831-position model. The record is from RNAcentral. Lineage: Eukaryota; Fungi; Ascomycota.
AAAGUCGUAACAAGGUCUCCGUUGGUGAACCAGCGGAGGGAUCAUUACAAGAAGCCGAAAGGCUACUUCAAACCAUCGCGAACUCGUCCAAGUUGCUUCGGCGGUGCGGCUACCCCCCCGGGGGUUCCGCGGCGCCGCGCCUCCCCGGAGGUGCGGGGCGCCCGCCGGAGGUCAGAAACUCUUAUGUAUUAUAGUGGCAUCUCUGAGUAAAACACAAAUAAGUUAAAACUUUCAACAACGGAUCUCUUGGUUCUG